GGUGCAGCGGGCGUCGAUACGCACUUCAAGCUCCACGGACACCAUACGGUUUCAUUCAUUCGCGGGCGGCAAGCCUGGAGUGAGGCCGUGCGUUUCGCUACGUCGCGUCCGCACCGCGAUGUCUUUAUGUUUGUCAACAAAUAAACAAAACGAGAUGUGCUCUGUGAAACAAACAUUGUUUUGUUGUAUUGUUUAUUCGCAGUACUGAAUAGUGCGUUAAUGUGUAACGUGAAAGAAGAUGGACGGUGCGAGCGCUGACUCCGAUCAUUCUAUGACUUGGGAAGAUUUUUUCGGUAGUACAACGGACCUUGCGCCCACGUUAAUUGGUAUAUACGACUCACUACUGGAACCCAAGAGCCUCCGACCUGAAGACAGCAGGUUCGAAACCGCGAAAGACGCACGGAAUGACCCGCCUGUAGAAGAUAAAGGAACAAAAGAUCCCACCAUGUUAGCUGGAAGCGUAAAACUCCCUAUAGCAACAGUAAACAAAAGUUCACUAUAUACGAUACGAACUAACAGUGAUAGAAAUGGUGCUAGUGAUGAGAGUGAUGUUAAAGUUAGUGAUAUAUCUGUUAUAAUUAAAGAACAAAAGCAAAGAACUAUAAAAGAAACAAAAAUGAGACUACGUUCGACAAUUUGUCGCCAAACGUGAAACGUAUGAUAUCGAGUGCAGCUGAAACGACUACAUUGAAAUUCCAGAAGAAAACUUUGAACGCUGGAAGAACGUCGACUAGACAGAAAUCGAACAUUCCUUUAGUUGGGGCGACUUCGAAGAUAUCGCAGUCUGGAGUCGAGAUUUUGUCUUCAGUAGAAAUUUACGACAAACCAUGUGUUUCCAAACCAGUGGCUGGGAUAAACCCCGAAGAAGAUACCCCAGUCAAGUCAUUGCCAGUGAAACCAGAUUUCAAAAUAGAUGACGAACAAACUUAUGAUGUUCCGACGAAUAACAGGCCAGCGAUAUAUGACGUUCCAUCGAACAAUAAGACCGCUUUUGAUUCCCUAUCAUUACCAUACAUUGAUCAAUCAAUCGAAUUAUCUAUAACAUCAAACGAUAGAGAAUUUGAUCCAAAAUUAUCUCCGAAAGAGCAGAAACCCGCUAGCCCGCCAGAUGUAUCACCUGCAAAAUUUCCCAAAACUUCUCUACGAGCUACAAACAGCUUACACCGUAAAGAUUUCGUUAAAAAGGAAAUUCUAGCAAAGCAGCUGCGGAAAACUGGACCUUAUCCCGAAGCGGUAGGGUCGACGGGGAACUUGAAGACGUGCGUGCAAGAUAAGGAGAUGAGGUUAAACCCGCCGCCUGUGGAAGUUUGUCGGCCUUUAUCGAUGAGCUCCAUUGCGUCCUCGAGUUCCACGUCAAGCAGUGGUGUGCAGAAUAAGGGUGUGAAUUCAGCGUAUCUGGCAUCCAUAGAGAGUUUGGAUGACCAUAGCGACGCCGACAUGACGUCAGCUAAUGGCAGUAACAAUUUUGUCGACACCGGUAUUCUGAAUGCGAGUGUAUCAGAGGAAAGGAAUUCCGAGGACACGCCACAGCAACUAGUUGACGAGAUGUCGGGUCUCUCUCAGCUGGAGAGGGUGUGCGCAGAAAUAGUACAAACGGAGAAUGUUUACGUCGAAGACUUGAGGCAGGUUGCUGAGGGCUACCUUCAUGUUUGGCGGCGGGACGCGACCUUCUCCGAGGAAGAACUCUCGGAACUGUUCAACAAUGUCGAAGAUAUCUACGCUUUCAACAGAUCUCUAUGCCAAGAGCUGAACUCGUGCCGUCUAGAUGCCACGUGCAUCGCUCGAUGCUUUGUAGACAACACCGCUGGGUUCGCCGUCUACACCUCCUACUGCACCGGCUACCCUCGGACUAUGGAGCGGCUGGCAGCACUGGCUUCAAAGCCUCAAAGUGCUAGAGCGUUCAGGGAGCGACAGACGGAGUUAGGCCAUAUGCUGCCAUUAGCGUCAUAUCUUUUAAAGCCGGUGCAAAGGAUAUUGAAGUACCAUUUGCUGUUGCAGAACGUGGUGAAGCAGUGCGCCUCACGCGAGACGGAGUACGCGCUGCUGAAGAUGACCGGCAUCGCGCAGCACAUCGACGACAUGAAGCGCAGACACGAGCACGCCGUCCGGGUGCAGGAAAUCCAGUCGCUCCUGUACGGCUGGAGCGGCCCCGACCUCACCACCUACGGAGAGUUGUGCGCCGAAGGGACAUUUAGAGUGUUCGGCGCGAAGGCGAUGCGUCACGUCUUCCUCUUCGACAAGAUGCUGCUCGUCACCAAAAACAGAGAGGACGGCAUACUCGCCUACAAGUCACAUAUUAUGUGCAACGACAUGAUGCUGGUGGAGUCGAUCGCGGGCGCGCCGCUGUCGUUCCACGUGAUCCCGUGGGGAGGCGCUGCGCGCACAGCUCACGCUGCAGGCGCGCUCGCACCGACACAAGCGCGAGUGGACGCUGCUGCUCAAAAAGGUAAUAUUAGAGAACUACAACGCCGUCAUACCAUCACAUGCACGCCAGCUGGUCAUGGAGCUUGGACAAAACAAAACAGAUGAUGAUAUGCUAGCGGAGAAAUCUCACAACCUGAUAACCCAAGCGUCCAUGAGAAAGCAAUUGUCAGCACCAGAGUACCUCGAAAAGCGAAAACUGGAGAGGGAAAGGCGGAAAUCCUUUGAGAACGGCGUCAGAAACCGCUUGAAGAAAGCCAAUAGGAAAUACACAAUACCCACCCCAAGAACUGAGAGACAGGAUUGUGACUGCACCCAAGUAUCAGCAGAGAAAGGGAUCGACUACACUUGUGAAAAUUGUUAUAUAGAUUUGUGUUCGGAUUGCGAAACAGAAUUAUCCAAGAAGAUCGAAAAAUGUCCGUGCCGGCAAGAAGAUAGUGAUCUAAAUGGAGAGAAAUGUCCAGAAUGUGAUAGAUCUCUUCAUUACAUAGACGCUGGUAGCGCUGAACAUUUAGAAAGGAAGCCAUCUGAAUGCAAAUGUUCUGAUUUCAAAUCUUCGCAAGAAAGCUUCGGCAAAGAGUUUAGCGCAUCACUGACAAAUACCAGAGGAUACCACUCUUCGGACAAUAUAGUACACUACAGCGAUAGUUGUAAAAGUAAAGAGGAUUUAACUGAAAAUAAUUCCUUACUAAAUGUCAGGAAUAUUCCAAAUACAUGUCUAUAAUGCGCGAAAAUUAAAGAAAAUAUUGUUAGAAUCUGUCACUACUUUACAUCCGAGGAGAUCGAGAUGUAAUGAUAGUGACAAACAUAGGCCAGAUACGUUAAGGUCUAAAUCGAAAGACGAUCCCCAGAGGUCGAAAUUAACCAAAAUUGGAACAUGGAGGAGAAAGUCUGAGCCAGGCUUACAACAAAACUCGGUUGGGAAUCUUCUAAAGAAAGCCCAAGACAGUGAUGGGGAGAAAAAUGACGCAAAAGGCAACGAAAAGAUAGAAUUCGAAUGUCGAAAUUGUGGAUCGAACAAAAUUACGAAGAAAAUUAAAUCGAAUGAUGGAACUAUAAUAUCUGAUCCAGAAUUAGACGGCAGGAAGAGGGGUGAACACACCGAAAGGAAAUUUAGAGAUAAGAAUGUACAACACUAAAAACAUACCAAAGAAAAUAUCCAAGAUAAUAAGAAUAGAGCUAAAGGUUUACGUCUAGGAUCAGAUACUACGGCUAAGUUCUACGCUGACUUUUCUACUGAUGUCUCCACUGAAAAUAUAUUGCACAUCUCUGAAUCUACCGAUAGUCUAAAUGUUGACAAACCUAAAGAUAAUAUAGAUACUACUGCAGUACCUGAAACCUUAAGUAAAGACGAAGAUAUAGACGAGGAGACUUAUAAGAAAUUAAUAGAAAAGACCGAUUCGUUUAAAAAAAAUGAAUUGGAAAAGUGAAGUACUUAAAUAAACAAAAGGUGAUAAACGAAGGUUCGGGAAGCUGAGGACAAAACAUGUGAAGAAAGCAAAAUUGAAGAAGUGGCUGAAAGCUGCGAAGAGGCGGAGCAACCGUUGGAACAAAUAAUUUCCCAACUGCUAAUGCAAAAUAGAGAAUUCCAGAAAUUAAUAAAGAAACAACAGCAAAGGAACAGCGCUCAAAGGCGACAUCAGAGACUUAUGAAGUCCCACUCAAAUCCAGAACCCGUUGUCUUAGCGAAGAACCUAGAUUCGGGUAAAUUAAAACCGAAACACAUGAGACAAACAUCUGAAAACCUGGAUUUGAAUCAUGAAACAGACUCCACUGAACUGACUCAGGAUGUAGAAGAAAAAUAUGCUACAGAGGACGAUCACAUUUACGAAACGUUAAGAGUAGACGACAGAGUGGAUGAAAGCCUACACAAUUUGAACAGCAAAAGCAAAAUAAUACAACAUAGCUCACACCUAAGUAGGCCUAAAAGGUUGCCAUCUCCGCCAAACCUAGCUCAAGAAACUGUUGAGACACUUCCUCCCGAAUCUGAUUACGUGUACUUAACAUUUGAUCAAUUAAACAAAGUGCAAGAUGAUGGAAUUUACGAUGUUCCAGUGAAAUCGCCUAAAAGAGUUGAUCAAUUACCUGCAGACUAUUACGUCACUAUGGAGAAACAAGGACCAGCAAUCACAGAUGAGAACAUAUACGAUACCCUUUUAGAAGUCUGUAAACGCAAAAAAGAUGUUGCCACGGCUGUAACUGGAGACUAUUUGCCGAUGAGCUCUGAUCAGCAGAGCCCUAACACUCCAGAAAUUUGGCUUAGCCGACAAAAGGAACAUUUCAAUGUCUCCCGAGAUAGGAAAUCUGGAUCCCUACCUCGGAGUUUCCAAGUGGUAACAAGCACUCAAGAAGAAAAUAACUUAAGUACGUUUAAGUGUAAACCUAAUAGUAAUAGUAAGACAUACUUAAAUAGAGAUGGUAAAGUUAUGAGCAUCGAUAGGCCAUUUACGAUCGCAUCGGAUCAAAGUGAGAUUAGUUACGAUGACGUAGAAAAUUACAUGAGUGAAGGAGACAUACUUAAGUUCAACAAGAAUUCGAAAGCAAAUGAGACUGAUUAUGCACAAAAUAUAAGCCAAUCCACUUUGGAACUAGAGGAAGAAAUCGAUAGAUGCUAUAAGAGCAACUUCGAAGAAAUUAAUUUGGAUAAAAACAAAAAUGAGAAUAUCAUGGCGUCACAAGGAAAUUUGAAUAAUUCUACUACCUCAUCAUGCGAAGUUUUAACGGUAGAACGAAUUGACGAUAAACCCGUAGUUGAAAAUAUUCAUCCGGAACACAAAAUAUAUAAGCCUACUAGUAACAUGUUGUCACUUAAAAACGUCUUAAGUCGCUUUAAAAACAAAACACCCAAUAAAAACAACGAAGAGGGAGAGAUAAAUGCUAAUGAACAAAGCAGUCCAGAUAGCACAAAAUCUGAUACGAAAAGUCCCACAAACGAAAAGCGAUCUGCUUUAAAUCCUAGAAGCUAUUCUAAAAAUCUACUGCAAAGGUUCAGAAGUAUUAUAGGCGACGACACUACAGACGAUAAUCAAAAUAAAGCAGAAUCUGCUAAAACUCAAACGUCUGUUACUGAAGAUAAUAAGAACGUCAUUAAAGUCGUAAUUACCUCGACCGAUGCAAGCCCUACUACAUCUACGAUAGUCUAUUCUGUUAACAGCGAUAUGCUUAGCAAGAGUGUGUGCGAACACACUUCGUUGACAGAUAGUCAAAACGAGAAGAACAAUCUAGAAGCACUGUCACUCAGUUGCGAUAAUAUCACGAAGAAAACAGAAAAAAUCCGUCCAUCCUACGAGAAAAGCAUUAGCAUGGUGACCAGUAUAUCUAGUGCGAUAGCUUCACCACUAAAAUCUAACAAUAGUUCCUACCAAAGCUUAAACAAAUUACCUAUUUACAUGCAAGGCAGUAAACUGUUAGGGGCAAGAAUCGCUCAGUCAGAUUACGUCGAUCCUAUGACGUUAUCUAGCGAGAAAGCUGCACUUAAAAGCGUCAAUGUACUCAUUAAUAAAAAUGCCGUAAGACCAGACAGUCUUUUUUCAAAUUCUUCAUUCGUCACUACGUCUAGCGAAGGAGUAUAUCAGGAAAGUAAAAGUAUUGUUACUAAAAGUACUGUUGAAAAGGAUAAAAUAGAGAUCUCUCAAAUUAACCCAGAUGAAAGUUAUUAUGAAAAAUCAUUUGGAGAAGAUUGAACAAGUGACGGAUGAGGACGUGUUUAGAGACUCGGCGGUGUAUUCUGACCAAGAAGAUGAAGAGGCAAAACCUGAAUCGAACAAUGAUAAAACUUCGGGUAAAACUAUUGUAAGAACUUCUAGUGUUAAACGAAAAUCAUCAUUCAAAGUCCAAAAUACGGUAGUAACUACAUCCACAACGGUUAAAACUACCGAAAAAAUAAUUGAUAAUGGGCAAAAAACAAUUAUUAAAACGAAAAUUGCUCCACCAGUCCCAGUUAAACCGAAAAUAACUCAAAUGCCUGUAAAUAACUUUCCUACUAGGAAUAUCAGUAAAAACAACCUAUUAGUUAAGAGUUUAGAAGAAACUUCGUCAACAGAAUCAAUAAGUACGAAAACAAUUAAAAGAAACACGAACUUUAAGCAAACUAUAGAAAGAUCUAUUUCAACACCAGGUGAUCAAAAACCCAACAACGAAAAACAAAAAGUAGACGAAACGAAAACAAUAAAAGAGGAAGAAGCACAAUGCAGCAACAAAUUUAAAACACAAUCUUGUAGUAAUAUACAAAUAAAAAGACUGAGUUUCGAAAGGGCUAGUUUAGAUUCGGCAACGCGAAAGAUCAAAACGAACGAGGUGAAAAAGACAGUCGAACCACCGAAGAUAACUUCUAAAUCUGUUUUGGAAAGACGAAUGGAGAUAGAGCAAUUAACUAAAAGUCAAAUCAAAACUAACCAAUCUGUUAAGAAGCCCCAGAUCGCGCCAAAAUCUGUCAGUACUAAAAUAGCAUUUGAAAGGAGCGUCAGUCACAGUGUGGGCGAAACGAAAAGUCAAUCCGUUGAGAAAAACAUUCCUUCAAGUAGAAACAGUGGGGAACAAAAUGUAGAAGAAAAUGUGGACUUAAAAGGUAGUUGGGUGAAGCAAGUGGUGAAUAAAUUCCAAUGAGCUUUAUCGAGUGAUACGAUGCAUUUAUAAAGGUUUUGUGUAUUAGUAACGAGUCGACAGAUUUUGAAUAAGUAAAUGUAAUCUUUGAAAUAAAAAAUAUAUUCAAAAUAUUCGUAGGUACUGAAAGUAUAAUUAUUUAAAACAUAUUACUGCUUGAAUUAUCAUUUCAUUUUAAAUCAAUUAUUACUUAUAAAUAAUCUUGAAAAUCAUAGAUAAUUUUUGUGUAAAAUUCAAUUUGUUCGACUCGUUAAUAAAUACGAAUAAAUUAUGAUUCCGUCUGUUUUAUACUCCCUUGUUUAAAUACCUACAUAACUUUACAACUAACGUAGACGAUUAGCUCUUAAGACUAGUAAUAUUUGUAAAUUACAUCAUUUCAUCAUUCUAUCGUGCCAUAGAUAAACUACUUAAUUCUACUAUUGUCAUUUAAAAAUGGAAUAAAAAGCAAACGAGUUAAAUAUAAAGCAUGCAUAGACUAAAAAGUAAAAAAGUUAAUGCAUUUUUUUGCACAAUGCAUAUUUUUAUUCAUCUUACAUUUGGAUUUUUUACAAGUUAUAAAACUUGAUUACUUAUUGAAGUGUCACUUUGCUUAGAAAGUUCAAUGUGCCAAUGAAAUAGUAGAAUUUAGUAUACAUAAUAAUUAUAUUUUGGCAAUAUGUUAAACACGAGUAUGCACAAAAUAUACAUGUAUAUAUAGAUCUGUUGGUAUGCUUAUUUUGCUGUUAUAGUAAUGUGCCAUUGCAAAUAUAACGAAAUUGUGUUUGUCAAAUUCGACACGUGGAUGACUUAAAAUUAUUUAUUAUUUUUCAUUAGUAAUUAAGUUUGUUUCGUAGGUACUAACACCAAAAAAUCACAGAAGAUUGUUUGAGUAUUAUUAUUUUUUUACUAAUAAAUUUAUGAAUUAUUUUGCUGUUUA
RNA transcript from Manduca sexta (tobacco hornworm), 7939 nucleotides. RefSeq lists it as uncharacterized. Lineage: Eukaryota; Metazoa; Arthropoda; Insecta; Lepidoptera; Sphingidae. The record is from RefSeq and is a predicted model, not a curated record. The transcript is spliced from 11 exons.